Vigna umbellata (rice bean) is the source of this 759-nucleotide non-coding RNA. The record is from RefSeq and is a predicted model, not a curated record. NCBI's taxonomy places the organism in Eukaryota, Viridiplantae, Streptophyta, Magnoliopsida, Fabales, Fabaceae.
GACCCGUAUUUUUAGGAGUGGUGGGGACACGGUGGUCACCCACCUCUUGCAUUAUUAGAAUGCAAUUAUUUGGAAGGGGGAAGAGGGAAGGAUCUCAUUUGGGCGUCAGGGGAGAUGCAUCUCACCCGUGAGCACCUCUUGGACAAGGUUGCUCCUGGACCGUGAAGGUGGCUUCUCCUUUUGAUGGACCAGCUACGUCUUUAAGGUGUUGGACCGUUUCCUCCAAGUGCUACUGGUGCUGUUGCCGCUGUCCAUCCAGCCAGGCAGUGACACCUCUUGCAUGCUGCUACUGCUGUCCGUGAAACCAAAUCAGCAUUUGAAAAAGGAAAUCAACCUGUGACAAGAAGUGCACCGUUCCAGCUCCAAAACAAUUCAUGCGUGUUCUUUGGAAUAAAGGAAGCAACGUCCUCUUCCUUCAGAUGUCCCAUGUGCACUUUCUUCAAUUAAUUUCUUGGACAUGAGGAAUAAAGUCGUGAGUGGUGUGUGUUUCUUCUAAACCAAUUCUGAAAUGAGUGAUAAAGUGGGCCAUAAUGCUUUCUCCCAACAAAUUAGUCACCUUAUAUUAUAUAACUGGUGGCUCCCAUCUUUAUUCUAGCAAUUUUGGUCAUGCAAAAGUGUAGGGCCGUGUGCUAUUUGCACUUCAACAAAUUCAACAUUUGCUUUUAGGAGUCCUCCACGUGAGCUUUCAACCAAUUGGUGGCCCCCUCAUUCCAUCAAGCACGGUUUGCAUACUCCAAAAAGAAUUUUCCUAUUUAAUUC